AGGUACGAAGUUUCCACCGUCGAUUCUCAAGGUAUUUGAGGUAGAUUCUCUCAAUGUUUUUACCUACAGUAAUAGCCACAACUUCCAAAUUCAAACCUUGACUCUUGAGGGGAGCACAAGGUAGAUUCUCUCAUCCCAAACGAAUAUUCUCCAUACACAAGAGUCAAGCAUCGAUACUCAAGGAAUGAACCCUCCGACCACCCAAUCAAGGGUCCUUAUUUUAAAAAUGAGUGAAACCACGUUAAGAGUGUGGUCUGCUACAUCAAUCUUGCAGAUGGAAAAACACACCCCCUCCAACUCAAGCCAUAAUAAAAUGCUAUAGUUCAAAAUACAAUGCUACAGCUAAGAACUGAAAGUAAACUACUUGGACCUACAACUCCUAGUCACACUACCAAAUUAGGAAAUGAAUGGCGUAAGCACCUUUCAAACUCAAGGUUUGAAUUUGGAAGUUGUGGCUAUUACUAUAGUAUUUAAAAGAUAUAAUAACAACAAACUAAAAUUGUUAAUCAGCGCAAGAAUUUAAAAGACAAAGGUAGACGCAAGACUUCCCUAUCAGCGAUGCAGCUAGAGCUGUCAAUUGGGCCGGUCCGGACUGCCGCCUCAGUCCGGUAAGCCAGCUCGUAUAAAUGGGUCAGAGACAGUCACCCCACUUGAUUCAUGUUUUGCCGAAAUUUUGCCGAAAAAAUGUAUUAUUUUAUUUUUUUAUAUAAAAAAGAAAUAUGCAAUGAACAAUACAACUAUCUAUCACAUUUUUUUUAAUAGAAAC
This 766-nucleotide long non-coding RNA is filed under the name Medicago truncatula (barrel medic). RNAcentral describes it as "long non-coding RNA (MTRU_LNC000811)". The record is from RNAcentral. Lineage: Eukaryota; Viridiplantae; Streptophyta; Magnoliopsida; Fabales; Fabaceae.